RNAcentral lists this long non-coding RNA (771 nucleotides) under Malus domestica (apple). Its description in RNAcentral is "long non-coding RNA (MDOM_LNC003227)". The record is from RNAcentral. Lineage: Eukaryota; Viridiplantae; Streptophyta; Magnoliopsida; Rosales; Rosaceae.
GAGUUACACACUUCCAACGUUGGCACAUUUAGAUGACUCGAAGGCCGUGGUUGAGUGCAAAAAAUAUUUCAGCAUAAAGUAUGCAUUUGACGUGUACAACUACAUUUUCAAAGGGAAGAAAAUUGGUGACGGUAGUUGCCGAGCUCUUGUGGCGUUAGAAAGAUCGUGCCAUACUGUUUUCGUGAACAACACUUUUACUUAUGAACACACCGGGAACAGAAUUGUCGUUCAUGCAGGGUUGACCGAGUAUUUAAUCAUUGUAUAAUUGUAAAUUCAGUCCCACCUUCUUCUUCUUUAUCUUAAAAAGAGAAUUGAACUUCUCUACGGCUAAUAUAUUUGGGGGAUGUUUCAUGAGAUAAAAUAAAAUUUUGAUAUAUUUGAUUUGAUGCCUCAUUACAACAUCACUUUGUUGCUUUGAGUUGUAAACCAUUUUCUUCAUCAACGAGGAAUGAACAAUAGCAAUAAAACAACUACCACGCUAAUUUAGAAAACUUCGUGAAACAUUGUAAGUAAUAUAGAUCAGUUUUAUAUUUGUUCGGCCCUUAUAUGUGCAUUACGUUCCGAUAUUAUAGAUAAACCGCAUAUUGAUAUGUCAUGCUUAUCUUCUUAGAUAAUUAUAUUGCUCGACCAAACUAAGGCAUGUGAAAAAUUAUUGUCGAGUAUAUUGCUACUCGUAUGAUCACGAUCUUCCUUGUAACAGUCAUGCGUGCCUUCUUAAUUGUUUCCGGAUCUAAAUUGAGAAAGAUGGGAACUUCGCCAUAUCAUAUAGCU